Acanthosepion pharaonis is the source of this 100-nucleotide non-coding RNA. NCBI's taxonomy places the organism in Eukaryota, Metazoa, Mollusca, Cephalopoda, Sepiida, Sepiidae. The record is from the annotation of a GenBank genome assembly.
UACGGCUAUGUCGCGUUGAAACACCAGUUUCCGUACGAUCAACGAAGUUAAGCAACGUCGAGCUUGGUCAAUACCUAGAUGAGUGAACGCUUGAGAAUCC